CCGAAUCGACUGGACGUACACACUGACAGAAAUAUUUGCCACUGGUCUUUACUCAAACAAUAAUUCACUCAUAAAUGCAUUACCGAAAAAGGGUGAGGUUAAUUGUUUGUUUGUGUAGAAUCUCAGAUCCGUUAAAAUACAAUUAGAAGUAAAAAAAAGUAUCACCCUCUCCUUUUGCCAAAAAAAAAACCAACUUGUAGAAACAAUACCAUUUGAAACAAACAGAAAAGAUAAAAAUGUAGUGAUCCUUAACAUCGCAAUUCUUUUUCUUUAUCUAUAAGCACGCAGAUGCAGCCUACAUUUUUAAUGCGUAGUCGAGACAUCUUUAAACUACUGCAAAUCAUCC
This 346-nucleotide long non-coding RNA is filed under the name Mytilus galloprovincialis (Mediterranean mussel). The record is from RNAcentral. Lineage: Eukaryota; Metazoa; Mollusca; Bivalvia; Mytilida; Mytilidae.